Long non-coding RNA from Xenopus laevis (African clawed frog), 913 nucleotides. RefSeq lists it as uncharacterized. The record is from RefSeq and is a predicted model, not a curated record. NCBI's taxonomy places the organism in Eukaryota, Metazoa, Chordata, Amphibia, Anura, Pipidae. The transcript has 2 exons.
GAAAACCCAAGGUCCUAAGGCAUAGAGGAGGAUCUGAGACUUUUAAAAAAGUUUAUAACAGAUUCGUUUAACCAACUCCGUGACAGCCUGAGUCACUGCGCCAAUCCUAAAGCAAUGUGAUCUAAACUCUUUUGCGACCAAACUGCAAAGCCAUAAGGCAUUGCCAGAGCACAGCAAUAAACUAAAAACAUGACUAUAUUGACUCAUAUUGACUCAUCCAUGUAACCAGCUUCGCACCCUAACAAAAUUUUGGAAACACAGCACAUGGCAAAUCCUGCAUCUGAUUCCGACAGUCUUUUAGCCCCUUUGUCCACUUUUGAUUUAAAAAUUCUAACCCGCAGAGUUGACUUGCACAGCUCAAUUUACUGCAAUUGGGCCCCCUUCCUUUUUCGUGCAAGUUGCAAAUUCUGUCCAGACAGUGCCUCCAAUAACGUGGUGAUGCUUGCCUUAAAGGUGGUCAUACACAGGGAGAUCCUCUUGUUUGGUGACCAGAUAUGCACACAUUAAGGUGGGCAAUAUUGGGCUGAUCCGAUCGGGGGCCCUAGUGCCCAAUGAUCCGCACAGAAUGGAGGCAACGUUGGCGGUCAGAUUGCAGGACCGCAUCAACUAACAGGUGCGCCCGCCAUUCAACAGGGUUUUUUACCCUGCCCUAUCGACAUCUGGCGGACUUAUGUCCAGAUAUCAAUUGGGGAAGCCCGUCGGAAGAGCCCCACCCACGGGACAAUAAGCUGCUGACUCAGUCUGUCGGCAGCUUUUAUAGGCCCAUAUAUGCAGUCCUUACUGUACAAAAAUAAAAACCAUAGCACCAAAUUCUUCCUCUCCCUAUCACUUAAACACCUUUCCACCUUUUUCAACUGCCGCCAUACCCUACUGAAUGAUUCCCACAUGGCUGCUGCCAAAGAAUUCCUAAUGC